Molecule: ribosomal RNA, 492 nt
Filed under: uncultured bacterium
Lineage: Bacteria
Description: partial 16S ribosomal RNA
Rfam family: Bacterial small subunit ribosomal RNA
Source: RNAcentral
AGUGAACGCUGGCGGUAGGCCUAACACAUGCAAGUCGAACGGCAGCACAGUAAGAGCUUGCUCUUACGGGUGGCGAGUGGCGGACGGGUGAGGAAUACAUCGGAAUCUACUUUUUCGUGGGGGAUAACGUAGGGAAACUUACGCUAAUACCGCAUACGACCUACGGGUGAAAGCAGGGGAUCUUCGGACCUUGCGCGAUUGAAUGAGCCGAUGCCGGAUUAGCUAGUUGGCGGGGUAAAGGCUCACCAAGGCGACGAUCCGUAGCUGGUCUGAGAGGAUGAUCAGCCACACUGGAACUGAGACACGGUCCAGACUCCUACGGGAGGCAGCAGUGGGGAAUAUUGGACAAUGGGCGCAAGCCUGAUCCAGCCAUACCGCGUGGGUGAAGAAGGCCUUCGGGUUGUAAAGCCCUUUUGUUGGGAAAGAAAAGCAGCAGGUUAAUACCCCGCUGUUCUGACGGUACCCAAAGAAUAAGCACCGGCUAACUUCGUG